This 236-nucleotide long non-coding RNA is filed under the name Elaeis guineensis (African oil palm). Its description in RNAcentral is "long non-coding RNA (EGUI_LNC013577)". The record is from RNAcentral. Lineage: Eukaryota; Viridiplantae; Streptophyta; Magnoliopsida; Arecales; Arecaceae.
UCCUUGUUUCAUGUGGUAUCUUUUCAUCGAUCUUGAUGAACAAGCAAUCUAUUUCCCUUCUUAAUGAUAUCAAAUUAGAACUUACAUGAAUUUUUGAGAUCUUCAAGCUCAAAAUCAACAAUCAAUUGGAGUGAAGCUAAUUGAAAUUGCAUCAUGUUAAUGGAUCUCCAACAAGUGACACGCUUCAUGUGGUGUCCUAUAUACAUGGAUAAAAUUAUUAUAAGAAAACAUGCAAG